UUUAGCCCAUCAGCGCUCGAGUGUGCUGCCUGCAGACUGGUUUCUCUCGAUCUUCCGUGGAAAUAGGGACGUCGAGGUGAACCUGAUCAUCACAUACGCAUGCCUGCCAUGAGCAGGAUAUAUAUGUUCUGCUGGAGAAGAUCAAGGUAAUAUGCCUUUUUUCCUUUCUUCUAGGAUUUCUUGGUAUUAUCCAUUGAUUUGAUCUGCCAAAGACAACUGGCAUAAGUAUGUUUAUUUGGUUUGUUCAAAUGGGUAACUAUUCCUUCUAGGAUAAUUUUUUCGAGUGUUCUUCCUGAUUAUCGGAUGAACAGAUCAAAGCUACUGCGUGCAGUGAAAGGCAUAUUUUCAACACUAAACUUUGCUAUUAGCAUUUCAAUAUGUCCGUUUUGUACCACAGACCUACAAAACUUAGCGCAGUGCUCCACAUCUUAUAUGCGUAGGCUUUAUGUUUUAUUCCUUUUCAUUCUUACGUCUAUAUUGUAUCCUUAUCCAAACAAUUUUUCUCUCCUUAAUUUCACACAAGGUUCACGCACUGUUUGUGCAUGAUUUUGUCUUCCUUUAUUGGACGUGCUGAGAUUGUGAGGUAAUUAUGCCCCUGUAGAAGCAAAGAUUUCAAUUGUCUAAACGAAAUUGGGAUAGGCCUGACUUGAUCCAUUUAGCAUUGACAUUUUCUUUUGGAAUUUAUACUUUUGUGCACCGGUAAUUCCUUUCUGGUUCCUAUCUUUAGUCAUGGUUACCGCAGUCCUAACUCCAUGUUUACAUGUGCUGGGAAAUCGCAGCCUGAUUGGCAGCUUAUUAAGUUAUUGAAUAUUGUGGCAUAUCAAGGUGCAUAACUUGUCCACCAAGGAGGACGGAAUUCUCUUCGCGACUGCCUAUAUUGCAGAUUAUUAAGCAAUUUUUGCAGCAGAAGACCCUUUGGCAGCCUCCAAGCUGAAAUGCAGAUGCAGACCCAAAUAUCAGGGCUGAUGGAGCAACGCCAUUACAUAUUUCUGCAGAUAGUGGAAAUAUAGAAGUAAUCGAAUGCUUACUUAAAGCUGGAGGUGACCCAAAUACCUGUGAUGAUGAUGGACUAAAGCCAAUAUAGGUUGCUGCUUUGAGAAAUAACCGUGAAGUUGUGGAACUUCUUUUACCAUUAACAUCCCCAAUUCCAAGUGUUUCAAAUUGGAACGUCGAUGGAAUUAUAGAAUACACAUUGUCUAAAGAGGUUGAGGAAAAGGCCCAAGUAAACGAAGUUACAUCUCUAAAGUCAGCCAGAGCACAACCUGCUGAGGCUACGGAGGUUGAUGGAAAUGCAUUUCAGGCUACAGAGUUGGAUCCAAAUGAUGCCGGAGUGCUUUCAAACAGAAGCCUUUGCAGAUUCUUUUGACAUGGUACAAUCAUCACUUUGGUUGCUCCAGAUUAUCAACCUGAUAAUCUCUUCUGUAGACAAGCGUUUGCUCCAAAGUUUCUUAGACAUGGUACCACUUAUUUUUUUGGUAUUCUCAUACAUAUUCCACCGACAGUAUAGCAACAACAACGUCGUGCCGCUUUUCAGUUCAGACACUAUAGUAGCAGCAACGAGUAGUCAACGGGGGUUAUAUAGCGCGCCAAUUGGCGCGCCAUAUUUCGAACGCACUCUGCAGUUCCCAUCUAAAUAAACAGGAAAAAGAUCAUGAGAUCGGUGAGCUUGCGGUGAAAUGAGAGAAAGAUGUGGCUUUGUGAAAAUAGUUGACUUAGUGCAUUCACCUGCAGGUUGGCAGGCUGCAAUGCUUUUGUUGUCUGGUUCUAAUCAAUAACCAUGCAGCAAGGCUAACAAGUUUCACCUUCUUGCCACGCUUACAACAUUUAGUCUCUGCUGCAAAUUGUUAUCUCCCCUAACGAAGCUAGCCACAUUGUCAUGUUGCUGAGCUGUGGUUUAGUUUAGUGCUGAGCUGUGCCAUACGUGCAUGCUAUAACACUUCUUUAAUGGAUAUGGAUAUUGCCUCAACAAUUAUUAUAUUUACCUUAGCCCUUUUGAGAUGGCCUAUCUAUGAACUGGAACAAGAUGAGCCCAUAACACAAGGAGGCACAUCCCUGCAUACUGGAUCGUAUGAGGAAAGGUAUAUGGAAGCAUGCUAAAUGUGAUGGACAUGAGGACUACGGCAUGCUUAUCAGUGAAAAGGCUCGGAAAUAUGCCAUAAUCAAGGAGCUUGACCAGCCAGUUACUUUGAAGGAUGGGACAACAGUCCUGCAGUUUGAAGUGAGGCUUCAGAAUGGUCUUGAAU
Phragmites australis (common reed) is the source of this 2243-nucleotide long non-coding RNA. RefSeq lists it as uncharacterized. Lineage: Eukaryota; Viridiplantae; Streptophyta; Magnoliopsida; Poales; Poaceae. The record is from RefSeq and is a predicted model, not a curated record. The transcript has 7 exons.